AUAUCAAUAAGCGGAGGAAAAGAAACUAACAAGGAUUCCCCUAGUAACUGCGAGUGAAGCGGGAAAAGCUCAAAUUUGUAAUCUGGCGCAAGCCCGAGUUGUAAUCUGGAGAAGCGUUUUCAGCCGUCGGCCCAGGACAAGUCCCUUGGAACAGGGCGUCAUAGAGGGUGAGAAUCCCGUGCUUGCCUGGCCACCGACGUCUAUGUGAUACGCUCUCGAAGAGUCGAGUUGUUUGGGAAUGCAGCUCAAAACGGGUGGUAAAUUCCAUCUAAAGCUAAAUAUUGGCGAGAGACCGAU
This 297-nucleotide ribosomal RNA is filed under the name uncultured Dacrymycetes. RNAcentral's name for it is "partial 28S ribosomal RNA". It matches the Rfam family "Eukaryotic large subunit ribosomal RNA", at positions 40 to 338 of the family's 3401-position model. Lineage: Eukaryota; Fungi; Basidiomycota; Dacrymycetes. The record is from RNAcentral.